GUAUAGAACCUACCUUAUAUUGGGGGAUAGCCCAGAGAAAUUUGGAUUAAUACCCCAUAGUAUGCUGAAGUGGCAUCCUUUAGUAUUAAAGAUUUAUCGAUAUAAGAUGGCUAUGCGUUCUAUUAGCUAGUUGGUAUGGUAACGGCAUACCAAGGCUACGAUAGAUAGGGGUCCUGAGAGGGAGAUCCCCCACACUGGUACUGAGACACGGACCAGACUCCUACGGGAGGCAGCAGUGAGGAAUAUUGGACAAUGGAGGCAACUCUGAUCCAGCCAUGCCGCGUGCAGGAAGACUGCCCUAUGGGUUGUAAACUGCUUUUAUAGAGGAAGAAACCCCCCGACGAGUCGGGUCUGACGGUACUCUACGAAUAAGGAUCGGCUAACUCCGUGCCAGCAGCCGCGGUAAUACGGAGGAUCCAAGCGUUAUCCGGAAUCAUUGGGUUUAAAGGGUCCGUAGCGGAUUUGUAAGUCAGUGGUGAAAGUUUGCGGCUCAACCGUAAAAUUGCCAUUGAUACUGCAAGUCUUGAAUCAUUGUGAAGUGGUUAGAAUAUGUAGUGUAGCGGUGAAAUGCAUAGAUAUUACUUAGAAUACCGAUUGCGAAGCAGAUCACUAAUAAUGUAUUGACGCUAAGGGACGAAAGCGUGGGUAGCGAACAGGAUUAGAUACCCUGGUAGUCCACGCCGUAAACGAUGGUUACUAGCUGUUCGGAUUUCGAUCUGAGUGG
Molecule: ribosomal RNA, 724 nt
Filed under: uncultured bacterium
Lineage: Bacteria
Description: bacterial SSU rRNA
Rfam family: Bacterial small subunit ribosomal RNA
Source: RNAcentral